UACGAAGGGGGCUAGCGUUGCUCGGAAUUACUGGGCGUAAAGGGAGCGUAGGCGGACAUUUAAGUCAGGGGUGAAAUCCCGGGGCUCAACCUCGGAAUUGCCUUUGAUACUGGGUGUCUUGAGUAUGAGAGAGGUAUGUGGAACUCCGAGUGUAGAGGUGAAAUUCGUAGAUAUUCGGAAGAACACCAGUGGCGAAGGCGACAUACUGGCUCAUUACUGACGCUGAGGCUCGAAAGCGUGGGGAGCAAACAGGAUUAGAAACCCCCGUAGUCC
RNAcentral lists this ribosomal RNA (273 nucleotides) under uncultured bacterium. RNAcentral's name for it is "partial 16S ribosomal RNA". It matches the Rfam family "Bacterial small subunit ribosomal RNA", at positions 524 to 796 of the family's 1533-position model. The record is from RNAcentral.